AGUGGGUGUAACGUACCUACUAGCCGACGACGGGUACGGGUUGUGAGAGCAUGAGCCCGGAGAUGGAUUCUGAGACACGAAUCCAGGCCCUACGGGGUGCAGCAGGCGCGAAAACUUUACAAUGCGGGUCACCGCGAUAAGGGAACCUCGAGUGCCAGCAUACAAUGUUGGCUGUCCAGGUGCCUAAAAAGCAUCUGUUAGCAAGGGCCGGGCAAGACCGGUGCCAGCCGCCGCGGUAACACCGGCGGCUCGAGUGGUAACCGCUAUUAUUGGGUCUAAAGGGUCUGUAGCCGGCCGGAUAAGUCCCUUGGGAAAUCUGGCAGCUUAACUGUCAGGCUUUCAGGGGAUACUGUUCGGCUUGGGACCGGGAGAGGUGAGAGGUACCUCAGGGGUAGGGGUGAAAUCUUGUAAUCCUUGAGGGACCACCAGUGGCGAAGGCGUCUCACCAGAACGGAUCCGACGGCAAGGGACGAAAGCUAGGGGCACGAACCGGAUUAGAU
RNAcentral lists this ribosomal RNA (500 nucleotides) under uncultured microorganism. RNAcentral describes it as "bacterial SSU rRNA". It matches the Rfam family "Archaeal small subunit ribosomal RNA", at positions 234 to 734 of the family's 1478-position model. The record is from RNAcentral.